RNAcentral lists this ribosomal RNA (320 nucleotides) under uncultured eukaryote. Its description in RNAcentral is "partial 18S ribosomal RNA". It matches the Rfam family "Eukaryotic small subunit ribosomal RNA", at positions 1470 to 1796 of the family's 1831-position model. The record is from RNAcentral.
CCCCUAGAUGUUCUGGGCCGCACGCGCGCUACACUGAACAGUUCAACAAGUCGUAACCUUGGCCGAUAGGUCUGGGUAAUCUUUGAACGCUGUUCGUGAUUGGGAUAGACCUUUGCAAUUAUGGGUCUUCAACGAGGAAUUCCUAGUAAACGCAAGUCAUCAGCUUGCAUUGAUUACGUCCCUGCCCUUUGUACACACCGCCCGUCGCACCUACCGAUUGAAUGGUCCGGUGAAAUCUCGGGACGGCGGCUUGGUCGCUUGCGUCCGACUGCUGAAACUUGAUUAAACCAUAUCAUUUAGAGGAAGGUGAAGUCGUAACA